UAUUAUUCUCAGGUACAAGAUUGUGAGAGAAUUCAAAUGAUCCUGGUCAUCUUCCAUUAAAAUAUUUCAAACUGAAGAAUCAAAUGAUGGCAAAGUCUUUCAAAUCGAGUAUCCUUUUAUUAAACUGGAAUUCAAACCCAAAAGUUGGAUAAAGAUUCUUGCAGAAAUGGUAAGCCAA
This is a long non-coding RNA of Danaus plexippus (monarch butterfly), 178 nucleotides long. RefSeq lists it as uncharacterized. The record is from RefSeq and is a predicted model, not a curated record. NCBI's taxonomy places the organism in Eukaryota, Metazoa, Arthropoda, Insecta, Lepidoptera, Nymphalidae. The transcript is spliced from 3 exons.